AAAUUGAAGAGUUUGAUCAUGGCUCAGAUUGAACGCUGGCGGCAGGCCUAACACAUGCAAGUCGAACGGUAACAGGAAGAAGCUUGCUUCUUUGCUGACGAGUGGCGGACGGGUGAGUAAUGUCUGGGAAACUGCCUGAUGGAGGGGGAUAACUACUGGAAACGGUAGCUAAUACCGCAUAACGUCGCAAGACCAAAGAGGGGGACCUUCGGGCCUCUUGCCAUCGGAUGUGCCCAGAUGGGAUUAGCUAGUUGGUGGGGUAACGGCUCACC
RNAcentral lists this ribosomal RNA (272 nucleotides) under Escherichia coli. Its description in RNAcentral is "partial 16S ribosomal RNA". It matches the Rfam family "Bacterial small subunit ribosomal RNA", at positions 1 to 269 of the family's 1533-position model. Lineage: Bacteria; Pseudomonadati; Pseudomonadota; Gammaproteobacteria; Enterobacterales; Enterobacteriaceae. The record is from RNAcentral.